AAUAUGAAAGCGGUUGGGGAACCACAGGGACAAGAGCUUCGGCUUGCGUUUCUGCCCCAGCUGUCUGAAUAUUCACCCAUGUCUUUUGCGUACUAUUUGUUUCCUUGGUGGGCUUGCCCACCGAUAGGACAAAAUUAAACCUUUUGUAAUUGCAGUCAGCGUCAGAAAAACUUAAUAGUUACAACUUUCAACAACGGAUCUCUUGGUUCU
This 210-nucleotide unclassified non-coding RNA is filed under the name rhizosphere metagenome. RNAcentral's name for it is "partial ribosomal RNA internal transcribed spacer region". The record is from RNAcentral.